UGGCGACCGGCGCACGGGUGAGUAACACGUAUCCAACCUGCCGUCUACUCUUGGACAGCCUUCUGAAAGAAAGAUUAAUACCCGAUGGCAUAGUUCUUCCGCAUGGUAGAACUAUUAAAGAAUUUCGGUCAUCGAUGGGGAUGCGUUCCAUUAGGUUGUUGGCGGGGUAACGGCCCACCAAGCCUUCGAUGGAUAGGGGUUCUGAGAGGAAGGUCCCCCACAUUGGAACUGAGACACGGUCCAAACUCCUACGGGAGGCAGCAUG
This 265-nucleotide ribosomal RNA is filed under the name uncultured bacterium. RNAcentral's name for it is "partial 16S ribosomal RNA". It matches the Rfam family "Bacterial small subunit ribosomal RNA", at positions 89 to 353 of the family's 1533-position model. The record is from RNAcentral.